Molecule: small nuclear RNA, 164 nt
Organism: Erinaceus europaeus (western European hedgehog)
Lineage: Eukaryota; Metazoa; Chordata; Mammalia; Eulipotyphla; Erinaceidae
Gene: U1
Rfam family: U1 spliceosomal RNA
About the family: U1 is a small nuclear RNA (snRNA) component of the spliceosome (involved in pre-mRNA splicing). Its 5' end forms complementary base pairs with the 5' splice junction, thus defining the 5' donor site of an intron.
Source: Ensembl
AUACUUACCUGGCAGGGGAGAUACCAUUGAUCACAAAGGUGGUUUUCCCAGGGUGAAGCUUAUCCAUUGCACCUCGAUGUGCUGACCCCUGCGAUUUCCCCAAAUGUGGGAAACUCGCCCGCAUAAUUUGUAGUAGUGGGGGACUGUGUUCGCGCUCUCCCCUG